RNAcentral lists this long non-coding RNA (441 nucleotides) under Manihot esculenta (cassava). RNAcentral's name for it is "long non-coding RNA (MESC_LNC007599)". Lineage: Eukaryota; Viridiplantae; Streptophyta; Magnoliopsida; Malpighiales; Euphorbiaceae. The record is from RNAcentral.
UAAACUUAUGACUUUUAAUUGAACCACAAACUGCUUUUAGCAUAACUCAUGCAUCAUGUUUAUGCCAUAGGUUGCUUGCAUUAGUAUUCACGAAUCUGUUGCAUUGCAUCGUUAUUUGGUGAUGUGAGUGAAUGCUGAAUGAUCCAAUAGUCUCAGACAGGAAGUCCAGGAGCCUUUGACUACGCCCUGGCAGGUAUAGAGAAGUCCAGGAGCCUUUGACUACGCCCUGGCAGGUAUAUAGUAAAGUCCAGGAGCCUUUGACUACGCCCUGGCAAUGGUAAGUACACAGGUGUUAUAUACACAUAUACAUAUAUGACAGGAAGACCAGGUGCUCGAUUCUACGCCCUGGCACAGAGCUACUGGGACUAUGUGGUGACAGGUUUACUCUUGAUGUGGCUUGUCUGUGAUAUGGUGCAUUCCAUGAGAUCAUAUUUUACUGAG